This is a long non-coding RNA of Felis catus (domestic cat), 599 nucleotides long. RefSeq lists it as uncharacterized. The transcript is spliced from 4 exons. The record is from RefSeq and is a predicted model, not a curated record. NCBI's taxonomy places the organism in Eukaryota, Metazoa, Chordata, Mammalia, Carnivora, Felidae.
AAGACGGGGAAAGUGACUCUACCUAAUGAAACUGUCCUUCUACAUCUGCCAAUCUGUGCCUUCCUAACAUCUAAACUGCAAAUAAUAUUGGAUGUGCUGAGGAUGCCAAUUUCCUUCUGGUGCCCAAUGAAAAGAGCUGCACGGCUGAAUGAACACCAACAAAUCUCUUUGCAGAAGUUAGUAAGGGCAACGUCGAGGAUCUGCCACAACAUGUCCUUCCAACUCUCGGGCACCAGGAAAAUCCUAACCACUAUUUGGGGCACUUGGACGGUCUUCAACUUCACUUUGAAAGAAUAAUCAGAAUUGCUAUCAUUUUUAUAGAGGAUUCUAAUGGCAGUUCUGUGGAACUAGAUGAACCAGCGUGGAAAAAAAGGUCAUUUUGCUGCCAGCUGGGUGACAUUAGGGCCAAAACUCUGGAUUUCUGAGCAGCACAAUGAGCUGGCAAGUGAGCUCUUUUAAAGACACAAUUCAGGAGGAGCAAUCAAUAAGAAUUUGAAUAUACUUGCCUCAAGAAGUGCUGGAGAAAGCCUUCCAAAGCUGAAGAGAACCGGAACUAAGCCAAAGAUUCAUAUUGCUACAAUAAGUAGUCAAAUAUUCUA